UACGAACUGUGCAAACGUUAUUCGGAAUCACUGGGCUUAAAGGGUGCGUAGGCGGACUUGAAGGUCUGAUGUGAAAUCCCACGGCUCAACCGUGGAAUUGCGUCGGAAACCAUGAGUCUUGAGGAGAUCAGAGGUAAGCGGAACUGAUGGUGGAGCGGUGAAAUGCGUUGAUAUCAUCAGGAACACCGGUGGCGAAAGCGGCUUGCUGGACGACAACUGACGCUGAGGCACGAAAGCGUGGGUAGCGAAAGGG
Molecule: ribosomal RNA, 253 nt
Filed under: uncultured bacterium
Lineage: Bacteria
Description: partial 16S ribosomal RNA
Rfam family: Bacterial small subunit ribosomal RNA
Source: RNAcentral